Molecule: non-coding RNA, 236 nt
Organism: Phoenix dactylifera (date palm)
Lineage: Eukaryota; Viridiplantae; Streptophyta; Magnoliopsida; Arecales; Arecaceae
Source: RefSeq, a predicted model, not a curated record
AUCUGAGUAAGGGCUAAGCGAGAAGAGGUCCCUCCUGCAGAACUAGAGCACUUGCUUCAAACACAUCCAAAUAUCAUCGAAGCUGCGGUGGUUCCAUACCCUAAUGAAGAAGCAGGUCAGGUGCCCGUGGCUUUUGUUGUCAGACUGCUCGAUAGCACUGUCAGUGAGUCCCAACUCAUGGAAUUUGUGGCUCAACAGGUUGCACCAUACAAAAGGAUCCAUCAUGUUUUGUUUGU